RNAcentral lists this ribosomal RNA (372 nucleotides) under uncultured organism. RNAcentral describes it as "bacterial SSU rRNA". It matches the Rfam family "Bacterial small subunit ribosomal RNA", at positions 526 to 896 of the family's 1533-position model. The record is from RNAcentral.
CAGAGGGUGCAAGCGUUAAUCGGAAUUACUGGGCGUAAAGCGCGCGUAGGUGGUUUGUUAAGUUGAAUGUGAAAGCCCCGGGCUCAACCUGGGAACUGCAUCCAAAACUGGCAAGCUAGAGUACGGUAGAGGGUGGUGGAAUUUCCUGUGUAGCGGUGAAAUGCGUAGAUAUAGGAAGGAACACCAGUGGCGAAGGCGACCACCUGGACUGAUACUGACACUGAGGUGCGAAAAGCGUGGGGAGCAAACAGGAUUAGAUACCCUGGUAGUCCACGCCGUAAACGAUGUCAACUAGCCGUUGGAAUCCUUGAGAUUUUAGUGGCGCAGCUAACGCAUUAAGUUGACCGCCUGGGGAGUACGGCCGCAAGGUUA